AGGGAGGCAGCAGUGGGGAAUAUUGCACAAUGGGGGAAACCCUGAUGCAGCGACGCCGCGUGAGUGAAGAAGUAUUUCGGUAUGUAAAGCUCUAUCAGCAAGGAAGAAAAUGACGGUACUUGACUAAGAAGCCCCGGCUAACUACGUGCCAGCAGCCGCGGUAAUACGUAGGGGGCAAGCGUUAUCCGGAUUUACUGGGUGUAAAGGGAGCGUAGACGGCAUAGCAAGUCUGAAGUGAAAUGCGGGGGCUCAACCCCUGAACUGCUUUGGAAACUGUUAAGCUAGAGUGCAGGAGAGGUAAGUGGAAUUCCUAGUGUAGCGGUGAAAUGCGUAGAUAUUAGGAGGAACACCAGUGGCGAAGGCGGCUUACUGGACUGUAACUGACGUUGAGGCUCGAAAGCGUGGGGAGCAAACAGGAUUAGAUACCCUGGUA
Molecule: ribosomal RNA, 433 nt
Filed under: uncultured Lachnospiraceae bacterium
Lineage: Bacteria; Bacillati; Bacillota; Clostridia; Lachnospirales; Lachnospiraceae
Description: partial 16S ribosomal RNA
Rfam family: Bacterial small subunit ribosomal RNA
Source: RNAcentral